This 179-nucleotide ribosomal RNA is filed under the name Blautia fusiformis. RNAcentral's name for it is "partial 23S ribosomal RNA". It matches the Rfam family "Bacterial large subunit ribosomal RNA", at positions 2746 to 2925 of the family's 2925-position model. The record is from RNAcentral. Lineage: Bacteria; Bacillati; Bacillota; Clostridia; Lachnospirales; Lachnospiraceae.
UAGCCAAGUCCGGAAGGGAUAAACGCUGAAGGCAUCUAAGCGUGAAGCCCCCCUCAAGAUGAGAUAUCCCAUUCUUAGUGAAGUAAACCCCCUUGAAGACGACGAGGUAGAUAGGGCAGAGGUGGAAGUGUGGUAACACAUGGAGCUGACUGUUACUAAUCGGGUGAGGGCUUGACCAA